RNAcentral lists this transfer RNA (76 nucleotides) under Ruminococcus sp. RNAcentral describes it as "tRNA-Lys". It matches the Rfam family "tRNA". Rfam says of the family: Transfer RNA (tRNA) molecules are approximately 80 nucleotides in length. The record is from RNAcentral. Lineage: Bacteria; Bacillati; Bacillota; Clostridia; Eubacteriales; Oscillospiraceae. RNAcentral also lists the same sequence under 11 other names.
GAGCCAUUAGCUCAGUUGGCAGAGCACUUGACUUUUAAUCAAGGUGUCCGGAGUUCGAAUCUCCGAUGGCUCACCA